UCGUGACCUGCGGAAGGAUCAUUAGUGAAUAUAGGACGUCCAACUUAACUUGGAGUCCGAACUCUCACUUUCUAACCCUGUGCACUUGUUUGGGAUAGUAACUCUCGCAAGUGAGCGAACUCCUAUUCACUUAUAAACACAAAGUCUAUGAAUGUAUUAAAUUUUAUAACAAAAUAAAACUUUCAACAACGGAUCUCUUGGCUCUCGCAUCGAUGAAGAACGCAGCGAAAUGCGAUAAGUAAUGUGAAUUGCAGAAUUCAGUGAAUCAUCGAAUCUUUGAACGCACCUUGCGCUCCAUGGUAUUCCGUGGAGCAUGCCUGUUUGAGUGUCAUGAAUACUUCAACCCUCCUCUUUCUUAAUGAUUGAAGAGGUGUUUGGUUUCUGAGCGCUGCUGGCCUUUACGGUCUAGCUCGUUCGUAAUGCAUUAGCAUCCGCAAUCGAACUUCGGAUUGACUUGGCGUAAUAGACUAUUCGCUGAGGAAUUCUAGUCUUCGGAUUAGAGCCGGGUUGGGUUAAAGGAAGCUUCUAAUCAGAAUGUCUACAUUUUAAGAUUAGAUCUCAAUCAGUAGGACUACCCGCUGAACUUAAGCAUAUACGGGGGGGAGAGAGAAGAGAAGAAA
Molecule: ribosomal RNA, 620 nt
Filed under: Rhodotorula mucilaginosa
Lineage: Eukaryota; Fungi; Basidiomycota; Microbotryomycetes; Sporidiobolales; Sporidiobolaceae
Description: eukaryotic LSU rRNA
Rfam family: 5.8S ribosomal RNA (bases 178-331)
Source: RNAcentral